Molecule: ribosomal RNA, 468 nt
Filed under: uncultured bacterium
Lineage: Bacteria
Description: partial 16S ribosomal RNA
Rfam family: Bacterial small subunit ribosomal RNA
Source: RNAcentral
GACGAACGCUGGCGGCGUGCUUAACACAUGCAAGUCGAACGGAAAGGCCCUGCUUUUGUGGGGUGCUCGAGUGGCGAACGGGUGAGUAACACGUGAGUAACCUGCCCUUGACUUUGGGAUAACUUCAGGAAACUGGGGCUAAUACCGGAUAGGAGCUCCUGCUGCAUGGUGGGGGUUGGAAAGUUUCGGCGGUUGGGGAUGGACUCGCGGCUUAUCAGCUUGUUGGUGGGGUAGUGGCUUACCAAGGCUUUGACGGGUAGCCGGCCUGAGAGGGUGACCGGCCACAUUGGGACUGAGAUACGGCCCAGACUCCUACGGGGGGCAGCAGUGGGGAAUAUUGCACAAUGGGCGGAAGCCUGAUGCAGCAACGCCGCGUGCGGGAUGACGGCCUUAGGGUUGUAAACCGCUUUCGCCUGUGACGAAGCGUGAGUGACGGUAAUGGGUAAAGAAGCACCGGCUAACUACGUG